This 393-nucleotide ribosomal RNA is filed under the name uncultured bacterium. Its description in RNAcentral is "partial 16S ribosomal RNA". It matches the Rfam family "Bacterial small subunit ribosomal RNA", at positions 523 to 918 of the family's 1533-position model. The record is from RNAcentral.
AUACGGAAGGUCCGGGCGUUAUCCGGAUUUAUUGGGUUUAAAGGGAGCGCAGGCGGAGAUGCAAGCGUGACGUCAAAUUUCGGGGCUCAACCCCGUCUCGCGUCGCGAACUGCGUCCCUUGGUUGCGGGAAGGGGAGGCGGAACUCGUGGUGUAGCGGUGAAAUGCAUAGAUAUCACGAAGAACUCCGAUCGCGAAGGCAGCCUUCCGGCCCGUCAACGACGCUCAUGCUCGAAGGUGCGGGUAUCAAACAGGAUUAGAUACCCUGGUAGUCCGCACAGUAAACGAUGGACACCCGCGGUUUGGCCUGUAUGGCUGAGCCGCCAAGCGAAAGCGAUAAGUAAUCCACCUGGGGAGUACGCCGGCAACGGUGAAACUCAAAGGAAUUGACGGGG